AUUGAACGCUGGCGGCAUGCCUUACACAUGCAAGUCGAACGAGUGGCGAACGGGUGAGUAAUACAUCGGAACGUGUCCAGUAGUGGGGGAUAGCCCGGCGAAAGCCGGAUUAAUACCGCAUACUAUUGGGGCGGCCGAUGGCGGAUUAGCUAGUUGGUGGGGUAAAGGCUCACCAAGGCGACGAUCCGUAGCUGGUCUGAGAGGACGACCAGCCACACUGGGACUGAGACACGGCCCAGACUCCUACGGUAGGCAGCAGUGGGGAAUGUUGGACAAUGGGGGCAACCCUGAUCCAGCAAUGCCGCGUGUGUGAAGAAGGCCUUCGGGUUGUAAAGCACUUUUGUCCGGAAAGCGGUACCGGAAGAAUAAGCACCGGCUAACUACGUGCCAGCAGCCGCGGUAAUAC
This 406-nucleotide ribosomal RNA is filed under the name uncultured bacterium. Its description in RNAcentral is "partial 16S ribosomal RNA". It matches the Rfam family "Bacterial small subunit ribosomal RNA", at positions 30 to 526 of the family's 1533-position model. The record is from RNAcentral.